This 620-nucleotide ribosomal RNA is filed under the name uncultured bacterium. RNAcentral describes it as "bacterial SSU rRNA". The stretch from base 1 to 520 matches the Rfam family "Bacterial small subunit ribosomal RNA", at positions 338 to 873 of the family's 1533-position model. The record is from RNAcentral.
CCUACGGGAGGCAGCAGUGGGGAAUAUUGGACAAUGGGCGAAAGUCUGAUCCAGCAAUGCCGCGUGAGUGAUGAAGGCCUUAGGGUUGUAAAGCUCUUUUACCCGGGAUGAUAAUGACAGUACCGGGAGAAUAAGCUCCGGCUAACUCCGUGCCAGCAGCCGCGGUAAUACGGAGGGAGCUAGCGUUGUUCGGAAUUACUGGGCGUAAAGCGCACGUAGGCGGCUUUGUAAGUUAGAGGUGAAAGCCUGGAGCUCAACUCCAGAAUUGCCUUUAAGACUGCAUCGCUUGAAUCCAGGAGAGGUGAGUGGAAUUCCGAGUGUAGAGGUGAAAUUCGUAGAUAUUCGGAAGAACACCAGUGGCGAAGGCGGCUCACUGGACUGGUAUUGACGCUGAGGUGCGAAAGCGUGGAGAGCAAACAGGAUUAGAUACCCUGGUAGUCCACGCCGUAAACGAUGAUAACUAGCUGUCAGGGCUCUUAGAGCUUUGGUGGCGCAGCUACGACAUUAAGUUAGUUCCGCCGUCGGGAGGUACGGUCGGCGAAGAAGUUAAACGUUAACUUAAAUUAGUAAGUUAGUUACGGACGUUGAGACGUGCCGACGGACGACGACGAGGGAGGAGG